AGUGAACGCUGGCGGCAGGCCUAACACAUGCAAGUCGAACGGCAGCACAAGAGAGCUUGCUCUCUGGGUGGCGAGUGGCGGACGGGUGAGGAAUGCAUCGGAAUCUGCCCAUUUGUGGGGGAUAACCUCGGGAAACCGGGACUAAUACCGCAUACGACCUACGGGUGAAAGCAGGGGAUCUUCGGACCUUGCGCAGAUGGUUGAGCCGAUGCCGGUUUAGCUAGUUGGAGGGGUAAAGGCCCACCAAGGCGACGAUCCGUAGCUGGGCUGAGAGGAUGAUAAGCCAAACUGGGACUGAGAAACGGCCCAGACUCCUAAGGGAGGCAGCAGUGGGGAAUAUUGGACAAUGGGCGCAAGCCUGAUCCAGCCAUGCCGCGUGUGUGAAGAAGGCCUUCGGGUUGUAAAGCACUUUUGUUGGGAAAGAAAAGCAGCCGGUUAAUACCCGGUUGUCAUGACGGUACCCAAAGAAUAAGCACCGGCUAACUUCGUG
Molecule: ribosomal RNA, 490 nt
Filed under: uncultured bacterium
Lineage: Bacteria
Description: partial 16S ribosomal RNA
Rfam family: Bacterial small subunit ribosomal RNA
Source: RNAcentral